Molecule: non-coding RNA, 27 nt
Filed under: Rattus norvegicus (Norway rat)
Lineage: Eukaryota; Metazoa; Chordata; Mammalia; Rodentia; Muridae
Source: RNAcentral
UGCUUUAGCAAAACAUCUUUCGUCCUG